GAUGAACGCUGGCGGCAUGCCUAAUACAUGCAAGUCGAGCGAACAGACGAGGAGCUUGCUCCUCUGACGUUAGCGGCGGACGGGUGAGUAACACGUGGAUAACCUACCUAUAAGACUGGGAUAACUUCGGGAAACCGGAGCUAAUACCGGAUAAUAUAUUGAACCGCAUGGUUCAAUAGUGAAAGACGGUUUUGCUGUCACUUAUAGAUGGAUCCGCGCCGCAUUAGCUAGUUGGUAAGGUAACGGCUUACCAAGGCAACGAUGCGUAGCCGACCUGAGAGGGUGAUCGGCCACACUGGAACUGAGACACGGUCCAGACUCCUACGGGAGGCAGCAGUAGGGAAUCUUCCGCAAUGGGCGAAAGCCUGACGGAGCAACGCUGCGUGAGUGAUGAAGGUCUUCGGAUCGUAAAACUCUGUUAUUAGGGAAGAACAAAUGUGUAAGUAACUAUGCACGUCUUGACGGUACCUAAUCAGAAAGCCACGGCUAACUACGUG
This 497-nucleotide ribosomal RNA is filed under the name uncultured bacterium. Its description in RNAcentral is "partial 16S ribosomal RNA". It matches the Rfam family "Bacterial small subunit ribosomal RNA", at positions 28 to 507 of the family's 1533-position model. The record is from RNAcentral.